Long non-coding RNA from Astatotilapia calliptera (eastern happy), 3092 nucleotides. The record is from Ensembl. NCBI's taxonomy places the organism in Eukaryota, Metazoa, Chordata, Actinopteri, Cichliformes, Cichlidae.
AUCAGAAUCAGUUAGAUGUCGCCCUUCUCACAGUCGGGGCUGAAAGCUGACAGCUCGCUGAUUCUGAUGUUUCGGCGGGUCGGCGCUUUGUGUUCACGCCCUUCAUGCGCUGAUUCUAAAGCUGUUAGUUUGAUGUCUCUCCGAACAAUAUUGACUGAACCAGCAGCAAAAGAAGAUCCAAACUACGCUUCACAUAAACAUCGUCAUGAAUUCACUCUGACUUUUACUGUUUUGCUUCCACCACGAUGCACAGCUCUCCCCCCCUCCCCCCCCCUCUCUUCAACAACAGUUUCCCGUCUAAAAAUCUGUUUUCUUCAUUAUUCGCUUGCUUGUUACGCACAACUCUACCGUUGUUUACAGCGCUGUCGGCCGACGUUUUUUUUCCCUUUUACAUUCUUCCGGAAAGAAAACCUAAUUUCUGCCGUUCAAUACUGAACAAAUGUAAACUUUUUAAAAUGAUGCAAAAUGCAAAACGCUUAGUCGUGUCUCUAAUAAAACCGCUGUAACGUCAGAGGUAAUGUUCAUGUGUUGAUUAAUGGUUUUCUUUCGUUUUUGAUGUACUGCAGAAUAUUUUUAUAAAAUCCCAGGCCAGGAAACUCGCCUUCAUGUUUUUCUGUGUUUUAUCUUCAGCUACUUUGACACAAAGGCAUCUGCUGUGACGCUCACACCUUUGAUAAAGUCUUGCGUGUGUCAGCUUCCUUUUUAUAGAUACAAAAAUAUGUAAAUGUACUGAUCUGAAUUAUAAUAUUUCUGACUGUCAAAAUUUCCCAGAUUCAAAUUGAAUUGAAUCGAAUCGAAUCGAUUCGGGACCUUGUGAAUCGGAAUUGAAUCGAUUCUAGAAAUCAGUGACGAUACCCAGCCCUAGUCCGGGGCUACGUUCAGGGCCAUCACUGGAGGAGGCGUGUGUGCUGAACUUCGUGGUCCUCGAGCAGUGUUUUUUGAGGGGCUGGCCGAGGCCACUGCCCACUGGGUCCGCUUCCAUCACCUGCCACCAGACCGGAGGCUACACGGCGGAGCUCAUCAAACGCUGAGUUUAGGCGCCGGCGUGUGGGGUCCCACAAACCCCUUCACAGCGCUGCUUUAGGCCGGUGGCCCAGAAUUGCCCGACGGCCACGGGGCCGCGCUUCUGAGCCACGGGGAGCCGCACAGAGUCCUGGAAGUGUGUGUGGCCGGGGCACCUACUGCGGGAAUGUCCAAUGAGUUGGGACGGGUGUUCCGCGUCCAGUGUCGCCGGGGCUACAGCACCCGCCCCUGGUCCCGGAGGUACGUAGCACAUUCCGGUAAGGUGUCGAGAAGGUGGACUCGGGCUGGACGCAGAUCCUGGUCCACCAAAGCUUGGUUCAGCCUGGGGCGUUGGAAGCAGAAUGGGUGGAGGUGAAAUGUGUGUAUGGGGACACAAGUAUCCUGUGGUGCCGCUUCUGCUACAAUACAAGGGCAAAACGCAAGGGGUAAAGGCGGCAGUUGGUCAGCGCCUGUUGCAUCCCCUAAAUUUGGACACCAACUAAUUGGCCAGGGUUACAUAGCUUGCUGGGGCAGUAUGCGGGGAUGAGACGUGGGGUCAUCUAACACUGACUCUGGGGGGAGGAGGCAGAAAAGUGUGCGCAAGCCCUGUUUAAGGUCAUCUCCCAGGUCGGUAUUCCAAAAGAAAUACUGACCACCCAGGGCACGGCGUUCAUGUCUCGCACACUAAAGGAGCUAUAAAAAUUACUGGGCAUUAAAUCUGUUCAGACCAGUGUCUACCUCCUUCAGACUGACAGGCUGGUGGAGCGGCUGAACAAGACUUUAAAGUCCAUGAUUCAUAAGUUCAUACAUGAGGAUGAACGCAAUUGGGAUCGCUGGUUAGACCCUCUGUUUGCAGUGAGGGAGGUACCCCAGACCUCCACAGGAUUUUCUCCUUUGAGUUGCUGUAGAGCAGACAGCCAUAGAAGGUGCUCGACCUGAUUAAAGAAAACUGGGAGAAAGGGUCGAGCCCCGUGAAAAAUGAGAUUCAGUACGUGCUGGACCUGAGAGCAAAACUGCACAGGUUGGGGAGUCUGUCACGGGCAGGUGCGUCCGCAGGUGGAGGAAACAGCAGCGAUUGCAUCCUGUCUGCGCCGGAAGACCAAAAAGGAGGUGGGACGUCUCCUGGGGCUGGCAGGCUACUACUGCCGGUUUGUGCCUAGGUUCGCGGACCUGGCCAGCCGCUUGACCGAUCUCACCAGGAAAGGUGCCCCCGAUCUGGUCCAGUGCCAGGUGGCGUUUGUGCAGCUAAAACAGGCUCUCUGUGGGGAGCCGCUGCUGUUCACACCUAACUUUUGGUGGUUGUGGCCGAUUUCCUCUCCUGCUCGCGGGGGUGUACGUUCGGCUGGCCUCAGUCGGGCGGUGGGGGUGUGUGGGGGAGGUGUGGUUUCUGGCCUGCUGCAGCGGAGGAGUGACACAGUGAGCUCGCAGGGCGGUGCGCAGGCGGGAAGAACAGUGAAAAACAUGUUUCGGCUCUGCUCAAACUCAAGACAAACCUCUCCAAAGCCGACAGGAAAAUCGUCAAAACCACUCUGUCAGACACACUGAAAGAGAGCCGUGCUGAUCCUGGAAUCCGGAAGUUUUUCUCCAAAAUUAAAGUGAGAUGAGCCGCACAUUUGCUUCUUAGAGUAUCACUGACUGAGAGUUUGGUUGCAGAGCAGCAAUAUUAUCGUGUAUUAUAUUGUGUUACAGUCUAUCUCUGUAAAGACAUACAGAGUGAAUGCCAGGGAAAAACCUUCAGAUGCUACUUAGACUGAAAUCCCUAUUAUACGCAGACUCGGUGAUGGUGAAUGCUUGCUGUAGUUACUGUAUGUUAUUGUAUACAUAAGCUAGAUUUUACAUUCAUGCUGGCAAUUUUUGUGCAUUUCAUAGAAACUGUGAAUAAGUAUGCAAGAGUCUGUUUUUACACACUUACAAACAGGUCAGUGCCGUUCUAUUAUAUGUCGUUUUGUUUAAAAACUACAAUGAUAUUAAAGUCUAGUUUUUUCAUAAGUUGUAUUUUAUGCUAUAUUGUAUUACAGAGAAUUAUACAUGUCUCAUGUACAUAAAAAGAUGUAAGUUGAGUUUUUUUUAAUAAAUGUGCAAAAACCAGC